RNAcentral lists this ribosomal RNA (219 nucleotides) under Vibrio sp. OPT41. Its description in RNAcentral is "partial 16S ribosomal RNA". It matches the Rfam family "Bacterial small subunit ribosomal RNA", at positions 354 to 565 of the family's 1533-position model. The record is from RNAcentral. RNAcentral also lists the same sequence under 1 other name. Lineage: Bacteria; Pseudomonadati; Pseudomonadota; Gammaproteobacteria; Vibrionales; Vibrionaceae.
GUGGGGAAUAUUGCACAAUGGGCGCAAGCCUGAUGCAGCCAUGCCGCGUGUGUGAAGAAGGCCUUCGGGUUGUAAAGCACUUUCAGUCGUGAGGAAGGCGGGUACGUUAAUAGCGUAUUCGUUUGACGUUAGCGACAGAAGAAGCACCGGCUAACUCCGUGCCAGCAGCCGCGGUAAUACGGAGGGUGCGAGCGUUAAUCGGAAUUACUGGGCGUAAAG